Molecule: small RNA, 552 nt
Filed under: Pongo abelii (Sumatran orangutan)
Lineage: Eukaryota; Metazoa; Chordata; Mammalia; Primates; Hominidae
Description: processed transcript
Source: RNAcentral
AGAGGCGGCGAGAAGCGGGCGGAGGCGGCCCAGCGGCGGCAGGUGAGGCGGAACCAACCCUCCUGGCCAUGGGAGGGGCCGUGGUGGACGAGGGCCCCACAGGCGUCAAGGCCCCCGACGGCGGCUGGGGCUGGGCCGUGCUCCUCGGCUGCUUUGUCAUCACUGGCUUCUCCUACGCCUUCCCCAAGGCCGUCAGUGUCUUCUUCAAGGAGCUCAUGCAGGAGUUUGGGAUCGGCUACAGCGACACAGCCUGGAUCUCCUCCAUCCUGCUGGCCAUGCUCUACGGGACAGGUCCGCUCUGCAGCGUGUGCGUGAACCGCUUUGGCUGCCGGCCCGUCAUGCUUGUGGGGGGCCUCUUUGCGUCGCUGGGCAUGGUGGCUGCGUCCUUUUGCCAGAGCAUCAUCCAAGGUUGGGUUUGGCGCUCAACUUCCAGCCCUCGCUCAUCAUGCUGAACCGCUACUUCAGCAAGCGGCGCCCCAUGGCCAACGGGCUGGCGGCAGCAGGUAGCCCCGUCUUCCUGUGUGCCCUGAGCCCGCUGGGGCAGCUGCUGCA